Equus quagga is the source of this 892-nucleotide long non-coding RNA. RefSeq lists it as uncharacterized. The record is from RefSeq and is a predicted model, not a curated record. The transcript has 4 exons. Lineage: Eukaryota; Metazoa; Chordata; Mammalia; Perissodactyla; Equidae.
UCGGGGUCCGAGGCCAGGGUCCCGGGCGUCAUGCGUGCGAGGCCGGAGGCGGCGCUGCCGCUGGUUCUGCCGCUGUCGGGCGGAGACGGCGGCGCGGGCUCCGUGAGCCGCGCCAGGCCGCGCUCGUCAGGGCUGCUGACCGGCAGCGGGGCCCCGAGGGCCGGGCGGCUGGGGGGUGGGGCAGGCGGACGGAGGCGGGAGGCCAGUGCGGAGGGCGCUGAGACGCCGCGAGCUGCAGCUCCGGGCGCGGCGCGGGUCUGGGCCGGAGAUCACCCCAGUCGUCCCAUUUCAGAAGGAAGAAGAGUAAUAUUUACCCUGAAAGUGUGGGAGCCGCGGGCGCUUGUGUCCGAAGUUGGGGCGCACGGGACGUGUGUGGCCUGUGGACAGUAACUCCUUUCUUAGUGUUAAUGGCUGAAACUUUGCCAUAAACCAGGUUAUUCACUCCCGCUUGACUUCAAGUGCGUUCCUGAUCUCUGAAUCUUGCGUGAGUUAGUUCAUUACUGGGCUGGAGAAGCUGAAGAAACACGGAUCUCAGUGGAGCCCAGACCCGACUGUAUUUUUCUAUAAAGAACACGGAUUGUACGAUAGGGAGACCAAAAAACCCUUUAGAGUAAGCCACUCAACAUAGAGAAUUUAAAUCUUCUCUCAGAAGUGUAUGGUAGAGCUCAAGAAGACAACCAGCCAAGGGUCAUCUGAAGUUCUGAUUGGCUCUCUGAUAACCCAGGACAAAGUUAGAGAGAACUGCUCCAGCAUAAGCAAGUGCUGUACUGUCCUGGAAAUUAGCCAAGAUGAUUGAGGCCAGGGAAAAGGAGCAAAAGAAGAAACAAAAACGUCAAGAAAAUAUUGCAAAAGCUAAACGACUGAAAAAGGAUUGAAGGAAUGAACAGCCGGC